GAGAUGCUAUUUUAGAAGUCUUUCUAAUGUUUUUCUGUAUGCUGUAAUGGCAACACUUGCUGUUUGGUGGUAAUUUGCAUCAGAUUCCCAGUGGAAAAUGUUGAGAUCUGAGUGAACCUUCUGGCCCUGAGCUAUACGUUUUAUCAGCUUGUACAGGCUUCAAAGAGAACCAGCAUCUCUAUUCUGUGCAGCACCCAGCCUGCUCUCUUUGCUCCAACAGUAAGAAUACCAAACAAGGAAUGCUGCAAUUGAUCCUAGGCAAUAGAAAGUACUUGAAUAUUAAACAAGAAAUAAAUAGGGAUGCAACAAAACUAGCAAUGAAAAGAAGGUGAAGGAGGUCAUGGGAGAGAAAGAUGCUGUGGAAAGUUGAGAUACCUGUGGAUUCUGCACUACUAAAGUGAGUGGAAGCCAUGUUACGAACUUUAAGAGCAGCUGAGAGCAAUGCUAGAGCUGAUAUUUCCUGCCUUUUCUAACCUUAUGUGACCAAAGAAUUUGUCUUCUGCCCCUUCUGGAAUACUUCUCUUGAGGUUUUCUACAUGACCUUGGAAAAGUUGGACAGGGGCUGACGCUGCCCUAGAAGUCGGUGGGCUAUAUGCUACAAAGAGAGGAGUAUUAAGACUGCAUUCUUCCUGUACCUCUUGUCUCUUCACCUGUAAAAUGCGGAUAACAAUGCACUCCUACUUCCUCCAGGUAAGAGAGGAGAACUGUUUUGCCUUAAUUGCACAGGAGUCAGCCCUGGAGGAGCACCUGUGAGAGGGCAGCCCUUGCUGCUCCUUCCCCUGAAACACUGAGCUGACAGCAAGGCAACCAGGGAUCAGCAUGAAGCCCACGCUAGCUUUCCAUCCCGCUCUCCGCUGCAGCUUUGGCUGACGGCUGGCCCAAGCCAUCGAGCCACGCGCGGCACAUGGGGUCUCGGCGGGGAACGAAGCCGAGGCCACACGACGCCUGUGAGAUGUGGGCCUGAGAGAAGAAUCUCCCUGAACUGAACAAAUGUGUCACUUUUGAAUAAGGAUUCAUGAAAAGGCAGAAAAGGAGAAGAAAAAAGAAUAAAGGAAGAGGUCAAGACAAGGAAGGUCUGAAGAAGAAAAUGCUUUUGGGAAAGGAUCAUCUUUAAGAAGAAUACUCUACGCUACAGUGAUCCUGUAGUAGAUUUCUGUUGUAGUAAGGAUUUUGGAAAGAUAGAAGAUGAUGUGGGGUGAGUUUUUCUCUUAUUUCUGUUGGCUCGUUACAAUUUCCCAUAUGCAUCUGGACUGUGGAAUAGGAACUUAAACUCUGUCACUUCUUUGCCAGCAGCAUCUUUCACAGUUCUGUGUCUGGAUGGCUGUUUGGCCAAGAGACAAAGUGCGGUAGUGUAAAUGCCUGAACUGAGCUUACUGUUUGGUAUGGAAGUUAUUCUGACUAACCAUGUGCUCAUCUCUCUCUAAUCAAUAUAUGGUUAUGGAAUGAAUGAAUGGAAAAGGAGGAAAGCUGAUCACUCUGUUACAGUGUUGAACUAACUUGAGGCUGCACACAAGACCGGAUUAGCCUAAUAUGUAUCAGGACUGUAAGAGGUACACUGCAAGCAGA
This is a long non-coding RNA of Dromaius novaehollandiae (emu), 1566 nucleotides long. RefSeq lists it as uncharacterized. The transcript has 9 exons. The record is from RefSeq and is a predicted model, not a curated record. NCBI's taxonomy places the organism in Eukaryota, Metazoa, Chordata, Aves, Casuariiformes, Dromaiidae.